UUUAUGACCUGUUUCAGGGAAGCAGGGUGAGGUGGGGAGGAGCUCAGAGGAACACUCCUGUUUCUGCCAUUUUCUCAAACUCUUUCGGCUUAAAAUAUUCAAUAUAAGAAGGGGCCGUAUUUUGAGGUCAGUGUCCUGAACCCUAUCACUGAUCUCAGUGUGUCUGUAUCUGCUCUGGGUGGGAUUUAGGAUGAGAGAAGAAGGAAGGGCAGACGGCUGGCAGAGCAGGACAGAGGUGAGGCAACGCAGGGGACUCAGGAGGGAAAGGUAAGGAAGCAUCGCCAGUCAGGGUCGGGCAAGGGCUGGUUCCCAACUGUGAGCACCUCCUUCCCUUUUGUUCACUUCCUGCUUCUCUUGCCUCACCCUAGUCCCAGCUCUGAGGAUGGGCAGGAAUGGACUUGGUCAGAAGACAGCAAGAAGCCCCUCCAGACUGAAAGGAAGAAAGCAGUCCCUGACAUCCGGGAGCAGGACUGAGUUGCUUUCAGCUGGCCACACCAACAGCAAUGAGACAUCAAGGACUUGAGCUUCAUUAAGUCCUGAGACCAAGUAUGUGAUCUCCGUCCCAGCGCAUGGGUUGAAAUUCCAGUCUAAGUUGCACGGUUUCACCUGCUCAAAGUGACAGUAACAACCUUGACUUGUUCAGGGUAUUGCUGGUGGUCCUAGCUGCGGGGAUUGACAGAGGAACUAAGGCCCCCACCCCGGUGGAGGAUGGAAUGAAGAUGUUGACCCUCCUGACUUCAGUCAACUAAAGCUUGGACUCUAUUGACCUUUGCCCCCAAUUCUAUGCUGAAUUCUCCUCUGCUCAAGCCCCUUCAUGAAUAUGCAUGUUCCCUUAGCUUAAUAAUUCCCCAGUUUUGCCAUCCAGGAGACACUGCUUUGGGAAAGAUCCCAAGCGUUCUCCUUACUUGCUGCAAGUAAUAAUAAAUUCUUCCCUCU
This is a long non-coding RNA of Hippopotamus amphibius kiboko, 936 nucleotides long. RefSeq lists it as uncharacterized. The record is from RefSeq and is a predicted model, not a curated record. NCBI's taxonomy places the organism in Eukaryota, Metazoa, Chordata, Mammalia, Artiodactyla, Hippopotamidae. The transcript has 3 exons.